AAAGAGUCCUCAUUCUUUUUCAGGUAUCUGCUUUUACUUCAAAAUUUCCUUUCAUUCUCGUUCAUUUCCAAUUUCCAUAUGUGACUUUGAUUUCGCCAAGUGACUAGAUGCGACCAUAUAAAUGAUGAUUGGUGCAUUCUUUCUUAUUUUUUAUUUUUUAUUUGUCUCCUAUUGCUUUGCAUAAGGUCUAGUGCCAAUGUUUCUAACUUUAACUGAAUGUUAUGCUGUUUAUUUUACAGUCUCAUGAUGGCUCGGGUGUUUAUUCCAUUCGGAAUAUCUCGAGUGAUUUGAUUCCUAAGAAAUUUGGUGGGGAUUCAUGUAUGAACAUUAGUGGGAGUGGUCAAGGGAAGAUAGCUACGUUGAACAAAUACAACAACAUGGAAAGUGGGAUAUUUUCUUUGUUGAUGGAAACAAGUGCUUCUGUUCGUAGUGUGAUCAAG
This 440-nucleotide long non-coding RNA is filed under the name Capsicum annuum. RNAcentral describes it as "long non-coding RNA (CANN_LNC014838)". The record is from RNAcentral. Lineage: Eukaryota; Viridiplantae; Streptophyta; Magnoliopsida; Solanales; Solanaceae.